This 254-nucleotide unclassified non-coding RNA is filed under the name Hevea brasiliensis (rubber tree). The record is from RNAcentral. Lineage: Eukaryota; Viridiplantae; Streptophyta; Magnoliopsida; Malpighiales; Euphorbiaceae.
GUGUUUGAAUCUGUGGUCCCUGCCACCGUCCUUCCCAGCCAGGGCAACAUGAACACUACACGGCCAUCUUUGGUCUUGGGAACAAUUAGUCCCAUGCCUUCAGGAGAAUAAUAAUCAGGAAGAAUAAUGUGCACACCACUACUCGGACAGAUCAUAGGGGCUGCAGCUUUGUCAGCCAUUCUCCUAACAGGGUCACAAAAUGGUCCAGCAGCAUUUAUAACGACUUUCGCAUAUGUAUCAAACUCUUUGCCUGA